This 497-nucleotide ribosomal RNA is filed under the name uncultured bacterium. RNAcentral's name for it is "partial 16S ribosomal RNA". It matches the Rfam family "Bacterial small subunit ribosomal RNA", at positions 28 to 508 of the family's 1533-position model. The record is from RNAcentral.
GAUGAACGCUGGCGGCGUGCCUAAUACAUGCAAGUCGAGCGAACAGACGAGGAGCUUGCUCCUCUGACGUUAGCGGCGGACGGGUGAGUAACACGUGGAUAACCUACCUAUAAGACUGGGAUAACUUCGGGAAACCGGAGCUAAUACCGGAUAAUAUAUUGAACCGCAUGGUUCAAUAGUGAAAGACGGUUUUGCUGUCACUUAUAGAUGGAUCCGCGCCGCAUUAGCUAGUUGGUAAGGUAACGGCUUACCAAGGCAACGAUGCGUAGCCGACCUGAGAGGGUGGCCGCCCACACUGGAACUGACACCGGCCCCGGCCCCCGGCGGGAGCCGCAGGGGGGGAUCCUCCCGAAAGGGGCGAAGCCCGGCGGGCACACCGCCGGGGGAGUGAUAAGGUUUUUGGGAUCUAAAACCUGUUUUUUGGGGAAAAAAAAAAUGUGAAAGAACCUUGGCCUGUUUGCCGGUUCCCUAAAAAAAAACCCCCGCCAACCUCCGGC